RNAcentral lists this ribosomal RNA (407 nucleotides) under uncultured bacterium. RNAcentral describes it as "partial 16S ribosomal RNA". It matches the Rfam family "Bacterial small subunit ribosomal RNA", at positions 30 to 526 of the family's 1533-position model. The record is from RNAcentral.
AUUGAACGCUGGCGGCGUGCCUAACACAUGCAAGUCGAGCGGAGCUGCGGACGGGUGAGUAAUGCCUAGGAAUCUGCCUGUUAGUGGGGUAUACCGUCCGGAAACGGGCGCUAAUGCCGCAUACUAUCAGAUCAGCCUCGGUCGGAUUAGCUAGUUGGUGGGGUAAAGGCUUACCAAGUGGACGAUCCGUCACUGGGCUGAGAGGAUGAUGAGUCACACUGGGACUGAGACACGGUCAAGACUCCUACGGGAGGCAGCAGUGGGGAAGAUUGGACAAUGGGCUAAAGGCUGAACCAGCCAUGCAGCGUGGGGGAAGAAGGUUUUCGGAUUGUAAAGCACUUUAAGUAGAGAGGCGUUACCAACAGAAUAAGCACCGGCUAACUUCGUGCCAGCAGCCGCGGUAAUUC